GGCGUAAGCGUGCGCAGGCGGCUUUUUAAGCCAGAUGUGAAAUCCCCGGGCUUAACCUGGGAACUGCAUUUGGAACUGGAAGGCUAGAGUGCGUCAGAGGGGGGUGGAAUUCCACGUGUAGCAGUGAAAUGCGUAGAGAUGUGGAGGAACACCGAUGGCGAAGGCAGCCCCCUGGGAUGACACUGACGCUCAUGCACGAAAGCGUGGGGAGCAAACAGGAUUAGAUACCCUGGUAGUCCACGCCCUAAACGAUGUCAACUGGUUGUUGGGGGAGUGAAAUCCUUCAGUAACGAAGCUAACGCGUGAAGUUGACCGCCUGGGGAGUACGGUCGCAAGAUUAAAACUCAAAGGAAUUGACGGGGACCCGCACAAGCGGUGGAUGAUGUGGAUUAAUUCGAUGCAACGCGAAGAACCUUACCUACCCUUGACAUGUCCGGAACUUGCCAGAGAUGGCUUGGUGCCCGAAAGGGAACCGGAACACAGGUGCUGCAUGGCUGUCGUCAGCUCGUGUCGUGAGAUGUUGGGUUAAGUCCCGCAACGAGCGCAACCCUUGUCCUUAGUUGCUACGCAAGAGCACUCUAAGGAGACUGCCGGUGACAAACCGGAGGAAGGUGGGGAUGACGUCAAGUCCUCAUGGCCCUUAUGGGUAGGGCUUCACACGUCAUACAAUGGUCGGUACAGAGGGUUGCCAAGCCGCGAGGUGGAGCCAAUCCCACAAAGCCGAUCGUAGUCCGGAUUGUUCUCUGCAACUCGAGAGCAUGAAGUCGGAAUCGCUAGUAAUCGCAGGUCAGCAUACUGCGGUGAAUACGUUCCCGGGUCUUGUACACACCGCCCGUCACACCAUGGGAGUGGGUUGCUCCAGAAGUAGUUA
Molecule: ribosomal RNA, 871 nt
Filed under: uncultured bacterium
Lineage: Bacteria
Description: bacterial SSU rRNA
Rfam family: Bacterial small subunit ribosomal RNA
Source: RNAcentral